This 332-nucleotide unclassified non-coding RNA is filed under the name soil metagenome. RNAcentral describes it as "partial contains 5.8S ribosomal RNA, internal transcribed spacer 2, and large subunit ribosomal RNA". The stretch from base 1 to 120 matches the Rfam family "5.8S ribosomal RNA", at positions 35 to 154 of the family's 154-position model. The record is from RNAcentral.
GAUGAAGAACGUAGCGAAAUGCGAUAAGUAAUGUGAAUUGCAGAAUUCAGUGAAUCAUCGAAUCUUUGAACGCACAUUGCGCCCGCCAGUAUUCUGGCGGGCAUGCCUGUUCGAGCGUCAUUUCAACCAUCAAGCUCUGCUUGCGUUGGGGAUCCGCGGCUGCCCGCGGUCCCUCAAAACCAGUGGCGGGCUCGCUAGUCACACCGAGCGUAGUAACUUUACAUCGCUAUGGUCGUGCGGCGGGUGCUUGCCGUAAAACCCCCCAAUUUUUAAGGUUGACCUCGGAUCAGGUAGGAAUACCCGCUGAACUUAAGCAUAUCAAUAGCGGAGGA